RNAcentral lists this ribosomal RNA (1435 nucleotides) under uncultured organism. RNAcentral describes it as "16S ribosomal RNA". It matches the Rfam family "Bacterial small subunit ribosomal RNA". The record is from RNAcentral.
GCGACAGGCUUAACACAUGCAAGUCGAGGGGCAGCGGGGGUAGCAAUACCCGCCGGCGACCGGCGCACGGGUGAGUAACGCGUAUGCAACUUACCUAUCAGAGGGGGAUAACCCGGCGAAAGUCGGACUAAUACCGCAUGAAGCAGGGAUCCCGCAUGGGAAUAUUUGCUAAAGAUUCAUCGCUGAUAGAUAGGCAUGCGUUCCAUUAGGCAGUUGGCGGGGUAACGGCCCACCAAACCGACGAUGGAUAGGGGUUCUGAGAGGAAGGUCCCCCACAUUGGUACUGAGACACGGACCAAACUCCUACGGGAGGCAGCAGUGAGGAAUAUUGGUCAAUGGCCGAGAGGCUGAACCAGCCAAGUCGCGUGAGGGAUGAAGGUUCUAUGGAUCGUAAACCUCUUUUAUAAGGGAAUAAAGUGCGGGACGUGUCCCGUUUUGUAUGUACCUUAUGAAUAAGGAUCGGCUAACUCCGUGCCAGCAGCCGCGGUAAUACGGAGGAUCCGAGCGUUAUCCGGAUUUAUUGGGUUUAAAGGGUGCGUAGGCGGCCUUUUAAGUCAGCGGUGAAAGUCUGUGGCUCAACCAUAGAAUUGCCGUUGAAACUGGGGGGCUUGAGUAUGUUUGAGGCAGGCGGAAUGCGUGGUGUAGCGGUGAAAUGCAUAGAUAUCACGCAGAACCCCGAUUGCGAAGGCAGCCUGCCAAGCCAUUACUGACGCUGAUGCACGAAAGCGUGGGGAUCAAACAGGAUUAGAUACCCUGGUAGUCCACGCAGUAAACGAUGAUCACUAGCUGUUUGCGAUACACUGUAAGCGGCACAGCGAAAGCGUUAAGUGAUCCACCUGGGGAGUACGCCGGCAACGGUGAAACUCAAAGGAAUUGACGGGGGCCCGCACAAGCGGAGGAACAUGUGGUUUAAUUCGAUGAUACGCGAGGAACCUUACCCGGGUUUGAACGCAUUCGGACCGAGGUGGAAACACCUUUUCUAGCAAUAGCCGUUUGCGAGGUGCUGCAUGGUUGUCGUCAGCUCGUGCCGUGAGGUGUCGGCUUAAGUGCCAUAACGAGCGCAACCCUUGCCACUAGUUACUAACAGGUAAAGCUGAGGACUCUGGUGGGACUGCCAGCGUAAGCUGCGAGGAAGGCGGGGAUGACGUCAAAUCAGCACGGCCCUUACAUCCGGGGCGACACACGUGUUACAAUGGCGUGGACAAAGGGAAGCCACCUGGCGACAGGGAGCGAAUCCCCAAACCACGUCUCAGUUCGGAUCGGAGUCUGCAACCCGACUCCGUGAAGCUGGAUUCGCUAGUAAUCGCGCAUCAGCCAUGGCGCGGUGAAUACGUUCCCGGGCCUUGUACACACCGCCCGUCAAGCCAUGGGAGCCGGGGGUACCUGAAGUCCGUAACCGCGAGGAUCGGCCUAGGGUAAAACUGGUGACUGGGGC